UAGAGCCGUAUACGAGACCCGUACGUACGGUUCAACGAGAGGGAAAUAAUUCUUAGCAAUUAUUUCCCUACUCUAU
Molecule: non-coding RNA, 76 nt
Organism: Clostridiales bacterium
Lineage: Bacteria; Bacillati; Bacillota; Clostridia; Eubacteriales
Source: Rfam